AGAGUUUGAUCAUGGCUCAGAUUGAACGCUGGCGGCAGGCCUAACACAUGCAAGUCGAGCGGUAGCACAGAGAGCUUGCUCUCGGGUGACGAGCGGCGGACGGGUGAGUAAUGUCUGGGAAACUGCCUGAUGGAGGGGGAUAACUACUGGAAACGGUAGCUAAUACCGCAUAACGUCGCAAGACCAAAGUGGGGGACCUUCGGGCCUCAUGCCAUCAGAUGUGCCCAGAUGGGAUUAGCUAGUAGGUGGGGUAACGGCUCACCUAGGCGACGAUCCUAGCUGGUCUGAGAGGAUGACCAGCCACACUGGAACUGAGACACGGUCCAGACUCCUACGGGAGGCAGCAGUGGGGAAUAUUGCACAAUGGGCGCAAGCCUGAUGCAGCCAUGCCGCGUGUGUGAAGAAGGCCUUCGGGUUGUAAAGCACUUUCAGCGGGGAGGAAGGCGUUAAGGUUAAUAACCUUGGCGAUUGACGUUACCCGCAGAAGAAGCACCGGCUAACUCCGUGCCAGCAGCCGCGGUAAUACGGAGGGUGCAAGCGUUAAUCGGAAUUACUGGGCGUAAAGCGCACGCAGGCGGUCUGUCAAGUCGGAUGUGAAAUCCCCGGGCUCAACCUGGGAACUGCAUUCGAAACUGGCAGGCUAGAGUCUUGUAGAGGGGGGUAGAAUUCCAGGUGUAGCGGUGAAAUGCGUAGAGAUCUGGAGGAAUACCGGUGGCGAAGGCGGCCCCCUGGACAAAGACUGACGCUCAGGUGCGAAAGCGUGGGGAGCAAACAGGAUUAGAUACCCUGGUAGUCCACGCCGUAAACGAUGUCGAUUUGGAGGUUGUGCCCUUGAGGCGUGGCUUCCGGAGCUAACGCGUUAAAUCGACCGCCUGGGGAGUACGGCCGCAAGGUUAAAACUCAAAUGAAUUGACGGGGGCCCGCACAAGCGGUGGAGCAUGUGGUUUAAUUCGAUGCAACGCGAAGAACCUUACCUGGUCUUGACAUCCACAGAACUUUCCAGAGAUGGAUUGGUGCCUUCGGGAACUGUGAGACAGGUGCUGCAUGGCUGUCGUCAGCUCGUGUUGUGAAAUGUUGGGUUAAGUCCCGCAACGAGCGCAACCCUUAUCCUUUGUUGCCAGCGGUCCGGCCGGGAACUCAAAGGAGACUGCCAGUGAUAAACUGGAGGAAGGUGGGGAUGACGUCAAGUCAUCAUGGCCCUUACGACCAGGGCUACACACGUGCUACAAUGGCAUAUACAAAGAGAAGCGACCUCGUGAGAGCAAGCGGACCUCAUAAAGUAUGUCGUAGUCCGGAUUGGAGUCUGCAACUCGACUCCAUGAAGUCGGAAUCGCUAGUAAUCGUAGAUCAGAAUGCUACGGUGAAUACGUUCCCGGGCCUUGUACACACCGCCCGUCACACCAUGGGAGUGGGUUGCAAAAGAAGUAGGUAGCUUAACCUUCGGGAGGGCGCUUACCACUUUGUGAUUCAUGACUGGGGUGAAGUCGUAACAAGGUAACCGUAGGGGAACCUGCGGUUGGAUCACCU
This 1527-nucleotide ribosomal RNA is filed under the name Klebsiella pneumoniae. RNAcentral's name for it is "bacterial SSU rRNA". It matches the Rfam family "Bacterial small subunit ribosomal RNA". Lineage: Bacteria; Pseudomonadati; Pseudomonadota; Gammaproteobacteria; Enterobacterales; Enterobacteriaceae. The record is from RNAcentral.